UUAAGCGACUAAGCGUACACGGUGGAUGCCCUGGCAGUCAGAGGCGAUGAAGGACGUGCUAAUCUGCGAAAAGCGUCGGUAAGGUGAUAUGAACCGUUAUAACCGGCGAUGUCCGAAUGGGGAAACCCAGUGCAAUUCGUUGCACUAUCGUUAACUGAAUACAUAGGUUAACGAGGCGAACCGGGGGAACUGAAACAUCUAAGUACCCCGAGGAAAAGAAAUCAACCGAGAUUCCCCCAGUAGCGGCGAGCGAACGGGGAGCAGCCCAGAGUCUGAAUCAGCUUGUGUGUUAGUGGAACGGUCUGGAAAGUCCGACGGUACAGGGUGAUAGUCCCGUACACCAAAAUGCACAGGUUGUGAACUCGAAGAGUAGGGCGGGACACGUGGUAUCCUGUCUGAAUAUGGGGGGACCAUCCUCCAAGGCUAAAUACUCCUGACUGACCGAUAGUGAACCAGUACCGUGAGGGAAAGGCGAAAAGAACCCCGGCGAGGGGAGUGAAAAAGAACCUGAAACCGUGUACGUACAAGCAGUGGGAGCACCUUCGGGUGUGACUGCGUACCUUUUGUAUAAUGGGUCAGCGACUUAUAUUCUGUAGCAAGGUUAACCGUAUAGGGGAGCCGCAGGGAAACCGAGUCUUAACUGGGCGUUAAGUUGCAGGGUAUAGACCCGAAACCCGGUGAUCUAGCCAUGGGCAGGUUGAAGGUUGGGUAACACUAACUGGAGGACCGAACCGACUAAUGUUGAAAAAUUAGCGGAUGACUUGUGGCUGGGGGUGAAAGGCCAAUCAAACCGGGAGAUAGCUGGUUCUCCCCGAAAGCUAUUUAGGUAGCGCCUCGUGAAUUCAUCUUCGGGGGUAGAGCACUGUUUCGGCUAGGGGGUCAUCCCGACUUACCAACCCGAUGCAAACUACGAAUACCGAAGAAUGUUAUCACGGGAGACACACGGCGGGUGCUAACGUCCGUCGUGAAGAGGGAAACAACCCAGACCGCCAGCUAAGGUCCCAAAGUCAUGGUUAAGUGGGAAACGAUGUGGGAAGGCACAGACAGCCAGGAUGUUGGCUUAGAAGCAGCCAUCAUUUAAAGAAAGCGUAAUAGCUCACUGGUCGAGUCGGCCUGCGCGGAAGAUGUAACGGGGCUAAACCAUGCACCGAAGCUGCGGCAGCGACACUAUGUGUUGUUGGGUAGGGGAGCGUUCUGUAAGCCUGCGAAGGUGUGCUGUGAGGCAUGCUGGAGGUAUCAGAAGUGCGAAUGCUGACAUAAGUAACGAUAAAGCGGGUGAAAAGCCCGCUCGCCGGAAGACCAAGGGUUCCUGUCCAACGUUAAUCGGGGCAGGGUGAGUCGACCCCUAAGGCGAGGCCGAAAGGCGUAGUCGAUGGGAAACAGGUUAAUAUUCCUGUACUUGGUGUUACUGCGAAGGGGGGACGGAGAAGGCUAUGUUAGCCGGGCGACGGUUGUCCCGGUUUAAGCAUGUAGGCUGGUUAUCCAGGCAAAUCCGGAUAAUCAAGGCUGAGGUGUGAUGACGAGGCACUACGGUGCUGAAGUAACAAAUGCCCUGCUUCCAGGAAAAGCCUCUAAGCAUCAGGUAACAUUAAAUCGUACCCCAAACCGACACAGGUGGUCAGGUAGAGAAUACCAAGGCGCUUGAGAGAACUCGGGUGAAGGAACUAGGCAAAAUGGUGCCGUAACUUCGGGAGAAGGCACGCUGGUGUGUAGGUGAAGUCCCUGCGGAUGGAGCUGAGACCAGUCGAAGAUACCAGCUGGCUGCAACUGUUUAUUAAAAACACAGCACUGUGCAAACACGAAAGUGGACGUAUACGGUGUGACGCCUGCCCGGUGCCGGAAGGUUAAUUGAUGGGGUUAUCCGUAAGGAGAAGCUCUUGAUCGAAGCCCCGGUAAACGGCGGCCGUAACUAUAACGGUCCUAAGGUAGCGAAAUUCCUUGUCGGGUAAGUUCCGACCUGCACGAAUGGCGUAAUGAUGGCCAGGCUGUCUCCACCCGAGACUCAGUGAAAUUGAACUCGCUGUGAAGAUGCAGUGUACCCGCGGCAAGACGGAAAGACCCCGUGAACCUUUACUAUAGCUUGACACUGAACAUUGAGCCUUGAUGUGUAGGAUAGGUGGGAGGCUUUGAAGCGUGGACGCCAGUCUGCGUGGAGCCAACCUUGAAAUACCACCCUUUAAUGUUUGAUGUUCUAACGUUGGCCCCUUACCGGGGUUGCGGACAGUGUCUGGUGGGUAGUUUGACUGGGGCGGUCUCCUCCCAAAGCGUAACGGAGGAGCACGAAGGUUAGCUAAUCCUGGUCGGACAUCAGGAGGUUAGUGCAAUGGCAUAAGCUAGCUUGACUGCGAGCGUGACGGCGCGAGCAGGUGCGAAAGCAGGUCAUAGUGAUCCGGUGGUUCUGAAUGGAAGGGCCAUCGCUCAACGGAUAAAAGGUACUCCGGGGAUAACAGGCUGAUACCGCCCAAGAGUUCAUAUCGACGGCGGUGUUUGGCACCUCGAUGUCGGCUCAUCACAUCCUGGGGCUGAAGUAGGUCCCAAGGGUAUGGCUGUUCGCCAUUUAAAGUGGUACGCGAGCUGGGUUUAGAACGUCGUGAGACAGUUCGGUCCCUAUCUGCCGUGGGCGCUGGAGAAUUGAGGGGGGCUGCUCCUAGUACGAGAGGACCGGAGUGGACGCAUCACUGGUGUUCGGGUUGUCAUGCCAAUGGCACUGCCCGGUAGCUAAAUGCGGAAGAGAUAAGUGCUGAAAGCAUCUAAGCACGAAACUUGCCCCGAGAUGAGUUCUCCCUGAGACUUUAAGUCUCCUGAAGGAACGUUAAAGACGAUGACGUUGAUAGGCCGGGUGUGUAAGCGCAGCGAUGCGUUGAGCUAACCGGUACUAAUGAACCGUGAGGCUUAACCUU
Molecule: ribosomal RNA, 2900 nt
Filed under: Klebsiella pneumoniae
Lineage: Bacteria; Pseudomonadati; Pseudomonadota; Gammaproteobacteria; Enterobacterales; Enterobacteriaceae
Description: bacterial LSU rRNA
Rfam family: Bacterial large subunit ribosomal RNA
Source: RNAcentral